RNAcentral lists this long non-coding RNA (1402 nucleotides) under Canis lupus familiaris (dog). RNAcentral describes it as "lncRNA (ENSCAFG00845017979.1)". The record is from RNAcentral. Lineage: Eukaryota; Metazoa; Chordata; Mammalia; Carnivora; Canidae.
AUGGCCCUGGGGAGCCACCUGCAUCACUCUCACACCAUGCUCUCCUCUGUGUGUUUAGCACCAGAUCCAACAGAUUUUCCCAAAACUGUGCCAAGACCCACAAUGGCAAGUCAUACCUUGCUUCCGUCUACCCAGGGCCUCACCAGCAGUCAGCCCGUGAUCAACCCCGGCAGCAGGACAUGGACCCUGGCCUCCUCUGUAGCAGCCAAGAAUCUUCCUGUAUGGAUGUUUCUGGUGCCUCCUUUCCUUGGGACCCUGCAGUGGCUCUGCCAAGGAUAAUGGACUCUUAAUCAGCAGGACUCUGGCCUCCUCUGUAGCAGCCCAGAAAGGAAAGGAUAUGUCCUCUUUCCAUCCUCAGUCUUCAGGGGUACCUGUUUUCUCACCUGUGUGGAUAUUCUGGUACCUCCUUUCCUUGGGACCCUGUAGUGAUUCUGCCAAAGAUAAUGGCCUCUUAUAUCAUUUAGGACUCUGGCCAAUGAUGGAUAUUACAGUUCCAGACCAACCAGGAACCAUAAAACCAGAAUUAAACCCAAAGCUUUCAAGUGUUCCAAGGACAAAGACCCUUGAUGGGCCAGGUGUACACAGGUCUAUCCAUUGCUGCUGAUUCAGUGCCUCCUAGAAUAUGAAUCACCUGAAUGUAAGAUUGUAUACAAGGUUGGACCAUCCCUGACUCAAAUUCCAUCUGUUUGCUCUGUACAUUUCCUAUUAAAUCUAUGGCUUUUCUGGCCUCUUGAGAUUAUUUUUUGGACACUAUUUCAAUGUUUUAUAUAUAGAAGACAACCCGGCCAUUCUAGAGGGUUUGAAGUGACUUUAAAUCCAACACUAACUGGGGGGGGGGGACAAUAGAAGGGAGAGGCCUGGAUGAUGCCUUCUUACCCCUCAGAGAGGUCCCAAGGAGGGCUUCACUUAUGUAGAUGUAAAAUUUCAUUGAUGGCUUUGUAUUUUUUUUUAAAAAUUUUAUUAGAGAAGGAGCAUGUGAGCAGGAGGGGGAAAGGCUGAUGGAGGAUGAUAAUCCCAAACAGACCCCAUGCCCAGCAGGGAGCCUGAUGCAGGUCCCAAUCUCAUGAUCUUAGGACCACAAACUGAGUUGAAAUCAAGAGUCUGACAUUUAAUCAUCUGAGCCACCCAGUCUCCCCUAUUUUCUGUAUUUGUUAAAAAGUGUAUUGUGGGCACACCUGGGUGGGUCAGUGGUUUGGUGCCUGCCUUCGGCCCAGGGUGUGACCCUGGAGACCCGGAAUCGAGUCCCACGUCAAGCUCCCUGCAUGGAGCCUGCUUCUCCCUCUGCCUGUGUCUCUGCCUCUCUCUCUCUCUCUCUCUCUGUGUGUGUGUGUGUAUGUGUGUGUGUGUGUCUCUCUCUCAUGAAUAAAUAAAUAAAAUCUUUUUAAAAAAGUGUAUUGUGGUG